UUGUAACCGUUCGGUUCCAAAAGGCAUAUUUGCUGGCUCCACCGCAAAUCCCAAUUAUUUGUCCCACCCUAGAAGUCCAAAAUGACAGCAUAGAGUGAGGGAUCAAUCAUGCAAUUCGUUUGACAUGUGAGGCACUCACGCUCUUUUUCCACUCAUUUCUCUGAAGAGUGAUACUACUUUGCAGCAGUUUGAUCAAUGUGUCAUGACAAACGCUUGCCCAAUGUAUCAUGAUUUGAUACAUAGAUGGUGCUAAUGUAAUUGCACGGGUUUACAUUAAAAGGUGAGGCUUUCCCUAUGUAUGCAAAUAUCAUGUUUGUUUGGAAUGUUAUUUGUACUCCGUCCUUACAAUUUAGCUUAUAAAUACUCAGCCAUUGCCAAGAAAGCUUCUUUUCUGUUCCAACCAGUGGAAGAUUUAGAAGUGCGCGUCGUGUGUAGUUCAAUCGUUAAAAAAAGUUAAAACUAGUUGUCCUUAAAAACUAGUAGUACGGGCAAAAGUACGGAAAAGUCCGAUAAUCGAUGGAAAAUUUACAAUACGUCCUUUGCUGAAAAUGUGCCCGACCGAAAAUGUUUGGUGAAGUGUAUGAAAAAGCUUAGAUAGAGAAAGGUCCGCAAGCGGGCCUUUCUCUUCUUUCUUUUCUUUCUUCGGAACAAGUUCCGAAAACCGCAGGACGGCCGAGGUGACAACACCCCCCCCCCUCCUGCUUCGUGCAAGCGCACCUUCCUUCCGUUACGCCAAAGUUGGACAGAAACCCGUUGGCCCAUCCGUCAUAUCGGCCACUUUCAUCCAUUGCCCGGUCGAAGACCGGAAACCGCAAAUUGGCCUGUG
Aedes albopictus (Asian tiger mosquito) is the source of this 826-nucleotide long non-coding RNA. RefSeq lists it as uncharacterized. NCBI's taxonomy places the organism in Eukaryota, Metazoa, Arthropoda, Insecta, Diptera, Culicidae. The transcript has 4 exons. The record is from RefSeq and is a predicted model, not a curated record.